GAGAGAGACAGCGAUACUUAUAGGUAAGCAACGCAUACUUGUGAACGCGCGAAAUUAACAAUUAAAAAUAGGUAUAAAUAAUAAAAUUUCUAGAAAUCGCAAUCAAGGAUAUUGUUAACUAUUGUCUGAGAAAAAAAAAAAAUAUAUUAUUUAUAUAUUUUUUUUUUUUUUCAUAUAUUUUUCAUGGGUCUAAAGUACCCAAAUUAAAGAUUUUUCGAACCUUUAAAAAUUCAUAUCUCUAAAAGUAUUAACUUGAUCGUGUAAAGCUAUAGGACCUUUAUUAAUUGUAUCUUAACAAAGAAUACAAAAAAAAUUUGUCCGGUUGAAAAAUAACAACUCCUUGCAAUUUUUUAAACAAUUUCGGUUUAAACAAUAUGGCACGGGGUUGCCCCCUGGCAACAUGCAUUUAUAUCAUCAGUAGGGUAAUUUGAAGAGAAUCGCAUAAAAAAAUUGAGGUGGAAUAGUUUUUGGUACUCAUGCGCCGAUUCCUCCUGGACUAUUUUCCAAAAAAGAGAAAUGUGGUCGCGAUACGCGGUAAAGCUCGCGCAUGCACAGAAUUGAAAUCGGCCGAAAUUGACGCCUCAUAGUGGUACGUGGUACCAACUGUAUUUUCGCCUGGGUCAUUCUGGCGAAUGACGCUACAGUUUCGCGAAGGGGCGGCGUCAAAUAUUGAGUUGGUAGCACUGAAGCGAAUUCGCAUCGCGCAGCCGACGCCGUAUAACACCAACCGAUUUCGUUAUUGUUGAACGAACUGCGAAGAUGAGAGAUUCAAACGAACGCGACAACCGUCGCAGCUACGCCGAGGUGGUGGCCCCACCCGGCGUAGUAGUGCCAUAGGCAGCGCCGCCACCCGCGGCAACGCAGCCACCCGCCGCACCAAACAUGGCGAAGAUUGCGGCAGAGUUAGCCGCGCUGAGGGCUGCGGUGGCAACCCUCACUCAUAUAUAGAGGCCUCCACUGCAGCCCCAGCAGGCACCGGCACCAGCGGCGGCACCAGCGGCCGCACCGGCGGCGGCGCCAGCGGCCGCACCGGCGGCGGCACCAGCGGCGGGGCAGCGCCGCAAUAAGAAACGAAGGAGGGGGCGCCGAGGGGGCGGUGGAUCGGUUGUGCAAUAUUAUUACCGAUGACCAUUAAAAGAAUGAAAAUAUAAAUAUUGCUUGUAUUCGUUUUUUUCCUGCCACCAUCUGCCACCAUAAAUAUAGUACGAUAGUAGUUCAUGGUAGUUCCAUGUAGUCCUACAAUAUAUCUAUGGUCCUAACAUAUCUGACGUCUGUUUUAUGAAUACCAUAUUAAUUGUUCAUUUGAAAAUAUUUAACAUUAGUAGUUUGAGCCAUUGAAAAUCCUAUAGCAAUUUCCAAAUUAGCAGUCUCCAGAGAU
Athalia rosae (coleseed sawfly) is the source of this 1378-nucleotide long non-coding RNA. RefSeq lists it as uncharacterized. Lineage: Eukaryota; Metazoa; Arthropoda; Insecta; Hymenoptera; Athaliidae. The transcript has 3 exons. The record is from RefSeq and is a predicted model, not a curated record.